GGCUGUUGCCUAGUCAGAAAUGGCAGGCAGCAAAAAAGGGUGCAUGAUUUUGGGCAUGAGUGAAGGAGACAAAGAAAACUUCCAAGUGAGAAGUUGGGAUAUAGCAGCAAGAGUUGGAGAUUUCUUGGAGACAAUACUUAGAGAAGAAGAAGGUUUGACUAAGGAGAUGAAAGGGACUGUGCUGAAGAAACUCCAGCUCAUUCAAAAUGUUGCUGCCCACCUGCUACAUAAGUAACAAGAGACAGUAUCAAGCCAAUGCUACAGAUACUAAAGAAACUCCCUGAAACAAGUAACUACAAAGCUUAGACUUGUGAAAACAGUAAACAGAAAUAGGAGCAUGGAUUCAAAUCUCUCCCACAAGAAGUUGGAAUGGACCACACACCCCACUGCCUCAAUAACAAAAUGCAAGAUUCAUCCUUUUAUAGCAGCUUUCUCAUAAAAACAUUAAAAUACUUUAAUUGUUUAAUUGUGCACCUUUCCCUGCCAUCUGGAAGAACAAGCAGAGAAAGAAACAAGGAUCACAAUGUAUGCUGAGUGUUUGACCCAUGAAAUUAUCUAAGGAAUUUCCCCUGCACUUUAUUCUAAACAGGAGAGGACAGUCUUGGUCUUUGCACAGGUCAGUAGAACUAUCUUGCUAGUAUUGAUAUUAGCUCUCCUUAAGCUGGUAUAGGGAUGGGAGUAAGGGCCCCAGCCCCACCUGCUACACACCUGAUAAAUGGAGAGUGGUGGAGGGAAAAAAAGAGGAGUACUACACUAGGCUAAGAAGCCAUUUUGAGGCAUUAUCCAGUUCACAUCCCCUAGCACACACAAUAUUACUUAUUAUGGCAAUCAUGAAAUACUAAUUGGAUAGUGACAGGAACUCAUAGGUGGCUCAAUUUGCAUUCCUUAAACACCCUGCUCUUCAACUGGCUUCAUAAUUCAGUUCUGAGGGUUGAACUGAGACACUGUUUCUCAUAAACCAGAUAUUACAGUCAGUGACAGCAAUGUGCAUGGUGGAAUGUUUUUAUAAAUGUUUACAUGAAUAUUACUAUCAGCAACUCCAUACCAUGAAAAUUAUUAUAGUCAGAGAAACUUAGGCAGCAAGCCAACUACUCCUGCUAUUGCUCAGAGGGAUAAGGAAUCUCUCUUUGGCUCUCUCUCUGCCAUAGGUCAAACCAGCAGGAUUCACUUGUUUAUUAUCAAUAAUUUAUCAAUAUUUUAUGUCCAUCCCAAAACUACAACCUAAACCCUCCCCUUUGCAGUGAUUUCUCAGUCUUAGGCAUGUCCAGUGUUUGGAAAGUCUGCUGCCUACCAGCUUUUCAUUGAAUCAUUCCUUGGGGCUACGUCUACACCGGCAUGAUUU
Pelodiscus sinensis (Chinese soft-shelled turtle) is the source of this 1342-nucleotide long non-coding RNA. RefSeq lists it as uncharacterized. NCBI's taxonomy places the organism in Eukaryota, Metazoa, Chordata, Testudines, Trionychidae. The record is from RefSeq and is a predicted model, not a curated record.